RNAcentral lists this long non-coding RNA (244 nucleotides) under Elaeis guineensis (African oil palm). Its description in RNAcentral is "long non-coding RNA (EGUI_LNC050852)". The record is from RNAcentral. Lineage: Eukaryota; Viridiplantae; Streptophyta; Magnoliopsida; Arecales; Arecaceae.
CCGUCACCAGAGAAGGUGGUGGCUCUAUUGCGAUCCCAUAAAAUCACCACGAUCCGCCUCUUCGACCAUAAACAUGCUUCCAACCCAACCUUCACCAGCACCUAAGUCCAAACUAAUAUAACUCUUUACCUUUAAUUUCUAGUAUACAAUAUUAUCAAUAUAUUAAUGUAAUAAAAAAGCUUCUAAGCCCAUAUGAUCAUGUAAAAGGCUUAGUAUAUCUUGCUAGCAUAUCAACAUCUCAAUA